This 92-nucleotide microRNA precursor is filed under the name Otolemur garnettii (small-eared galago). Its description in RNAcentral is "miRNA (ENSOGAG00000017365.1)". Lineage: Eukaryota; Metazoa; Chordata; Mammalia; Primates; Galagidae. The record is from RNAcentral.
GGAUGACCAACUGUCCUGGUUUGCCUGGGACUGAGAGGUUUCCAGGGACAUGGAACUUCUACUGGUGAGACCAGAGAAGUCCUGGGAAAUUC